This 414-nucleotide ribosomal RNA is filed under the name uncultured microorganism. RNAcentral's name for it is "bacterial SSU rRNA". It matches the Rfam family "Archaeal small subunit ribosomal RNA", at positions 459 to 872 of the family's 1478-position model. The record is from RNAcentral.
CAGCAGCCGCGGUAAUACCGGCGGCCCGAGUGGCGGUCACUAUUAUUGGGCUUAAAGCGUCCGUAGCCGGGGUGGGAAGUCCUCCGGGAAAUCUGGCCGCUUAACGGUCAGAAUGCCGGAGGAUACUCCCAGCCUAGGGAGCGGGAGAGGCCGAGGGGAUUCCCGGAGUAGGGGGGAAAUCCUAUAAUCCCGGGAGGACCACCUGUGGCGAAGGCGCUCGGCUGGAACGCGUCCGACGGUGAGGGACGAAGGCCAGGGGAGCAAACCGGAUUAGAUACCCGGGUAGUCCUGGCUGUAAACGAUGCGGACUUUGUGUCGGACAAGCUAUGAGCUUGUCCGGUGCCGGAGGGAAACCGUUAAGUCCGCCGCCUGGGGAGUACGGCCGCAAGGCUGAAACUUAAAGGAAUUGGCGGG